RNAcentral lists this ribosomal RNA (749 nucleotides) under uncultured Bacteroidales bacterium. Its description in RNAcentral is "bacterial SSU rRNA". It matches the Rfam family "Bacterial small subunit ribosomal RNA", at positions 38 to 776 of the family's 1533-position model. Lineage: Bacteria; Pseudomonadati; Bacteroidota; Bacteroidia; Bacteroidales. The record is from RNAcentral.
AGCUACAGGCUUAACACAUGCAAGUCGAGGGGCAGCAUGGUCUUAGCUUGCUAAGACUGAUGGCGACCGGCGCACGGGUGAGUAACACGUAUCCAACCUGCCGUCUACUCUUGGACAGCCUUCUGAAAGGAAGAUUAAUACAAGAUGGCAUCAUGAGUCCGCAUGUUCACAUGAUUAAAGGUAUUCCGGUAGACGAUGGGGAUGCGUUCCAUUAGAUAGUAGGCGGGGUAACGGCCCACCUAGUCUUCGAUGGAUAGGGGUUCUGAGAGGAAGGUCCCCCACAUUGGAACUGAGACACGGUCCAAACUCCUACGGGAGGCAGCAGUGAGGAAUAUUGGUCAAUGGGCGAGAGCCUGAACCAGCCAAGUAGCGUGAAGGAUGACUGCCCUAUGGGUUGUAAACUUCUUUUAUAAAGGAAUAAAGUCGGGUAUGUAUACCCGUUUGCAUGUACUUUAUGAAUAAGGAUCGGCUAACUCCGUGCCAGCAGCCGCGGUAAUACGGAGGAUCCGAGCGUUAUCCGGAUUUAUUGGGUUUAAAGGGAGCGUAGAUGGAUGUUUAAGUCAGUUGUGAAAGUUUGCGGCUCAACCGUAAAAUUGCAGUUGAUACUGGAUAUCUUGAGUGCAGUUGAGGCAGGCGGAAUUCGUGGUGUAGCGGUGAAAUGCUUAGAUAUCACGAAGAACUCCGAUUGCGAAGGCAGCCUGCUAAGCUGCAACUGACAUUGAGGCUCGAAAGUGUGGGUAUCAAACAGG